CUCCUUUGACGUUAGCGGCGGACGGGUGAGUAACACGUGGGUAACCUACCUAUAAGACUGGGAUAACUUCGGGAAACCGGAGCUAAUACCGGAUAACAUUUGGAACCGCAUGGUUCUAAAGUGAAAGAUGGUUUUGCUAUCACUUAUAGAUGGACCCGCGCCGUAUUAGCUAGUUGGUAAGGUAACGGCUUACCAAGGCGACGAUACGUAGCCGACCUGAGAGGGUGAUCGGCCACACUGGAACUGAGACACGGUCCAG
This 259-nucleotide ribosomal RNA is filed under the name uncultured Staphylococcus sp. RNAcentral describes it as "partial 16S ribosomal RNA". It matches the Rfam family "Bacterial small subunit ribosomal RNA", at positions 81 to 334 of the family's 1533-position model. The record is from RNAcentral. Lineage: Bacteria; Bacillati; Bacillota; Bacilli; Caryophanales; Staphylococcaceae.